RNAcentral lists this ribosomal RNA (722 nucleotides) under Boana raniceps (Chaco treefrog). Its description in RNAcentral is "partial 16S ribosomal RNA". It matches the Rfam family "Bacterial large subunit ribosomal RNA", at positions 1926 to 2925 of the family's 2925-position model. The record is from RNAcentral. Lineage: Eukaryota; Metazoa; Chordata; Amphibia; Anura; Hylidae.
AACGGCCGCGGUAUCCUAACCGUGCGAAGGUAGCGUAAUCACUUGUUCUUUAAAUGAGGACUAGUAUGAAUGGCACCACGAGGGUUAAACUGUCUCCUUUUUUUAAUCAGUGAAACUAAUCUCCCCGUGAAGAAGCGGGGAUUCUUUUAUAAGACGAGAAGACCCUAUGGAGCUUUAAACAAGUUAACACCUGCUACUAAUCNNUUCACUUUCCUGAACCACCACAUUAAGUAUAGCACCUCUGAUUAACAGUUUUCGAUUGGGGUGAUCAUGGAGCAAAAAUCAACCUCCACGACGAAAAGGAACACCUCCUUGAGCCAAAAGCUACAACUUUAAGCACUAAAAAACUAACGCACUUUGACCCAAUUCUUUGAGCAACGAACCAAGUUACCCUAGGGAUAACAGCGCAAUCCACUUUAAGAGCCCCUAUCGACAAGUGGGUUUACGACCUCGAUGUUGGAUCAGGGUAUCCCAGUGGUGCAGCCGCUACUAAAGGUUCGUUUGUUCAACGAUUAAAACCCUACGUGAUCUGAGUUCAGACCGGAGUAAUCCAGGUCAGUUUCUAUCUAUAAAGGGCUUUUUCUAGUACGAAAGGACCGAAAAAGCAUGGCCUAUAACCCAUCAAGCCAUAUAAAUUACUAUUGUUCCCAACUUAAAUAGAAGUAAACCUACCACUUAUCUCGAUAAAAGAGAAGUUAACGUAGCAUAACCUGGCCUUGCAG